AUGUGUCCCUUUAUUAUCAUUUUGAUUACUAAUCUCCUAAAAAAAAAAUACAAACACAUUACUUUAACGCCUCUGGAGGUGCUCUUACUGAAAAAAUCUGAUUAAAAUUUACAAUUUGAUCGAAUUUUACACAUAAAAAUUUUCGAUCAAAAGUUACAAUCCGGUCGAAAGAAAAGUUAAGGUGUUUAAAGAGCAACUAUCUAAGCUCAAGGACUUCCAACAAAAUGUAUUGGCCCAAGUAAUGUAUUAGCUUCAAAAAAAUUCUGGGCACAAAUAAUUGCAAUAAAGCUGACGGGUUGGGCUUUUAAAUUUAUAUAUUCUUUUGUCCUCCCGAUUUUAUUUAGCUAGCUAGUGAUUAAGAUAAGAGGGGGAAAAGGGGAUAGAAAAGACAUUGUAGUAGUAGAAUACUAGUGGAGCAAGCAAACAAACAAGCAAAAAGGAGCAAAGAAGCAUGUUGGGCGGAUCCAGCUAAACAGCCGGAUC
RNAcentral lists this long non-coding RNA (483 nucleotides) under Medicago truncatula (barrel medic). RNAcentral describes it as "lncRNA gene45466". Lineage: Eukaryota; Viridiplantae; Streptophyta; Magnoliopsida; Fabales; Fabaceae. The record is from RNAcentral.